CAGUAGCCGCGGUAAUACGUAGGGUGCAAGCGUCGUCCGGAAUUAUUGGGCGUAAAGAGCUCGUAGGCGGUCUGUCGCGUCGGCUGUGAAAACCUGGGGCUCAACCCCGGGCCUGCAGCCGAUACGGGCAGACUAGAAUUCGGUAGGGGAGACUGGAAUUCCUGGUGUAGUGGUGAAAUGCGCAGAUAUCAGGAGGAACACCGGUGGCGAAGGCGGGUCUCUGGGCCGAUAUUGACGCUGAGGAGCGAAAGCGUGGGGAGCGAACAGGAUUAGAUACCCCAGUAGUCCCUGUCUCUUAUAA
Molecule: ribosomal RNA, 301 nt
Filed under: uncultured bacterium
Lineage: Bacteria
Description: partial 16S ribosomal RNA
Rfam family: Bacterial small subunit ribosomal RNA
Source: RNAcentral